RNAcentral lists this ribosomal RNA (514 nucleotides) under uncultured bacterium. RNAcentral's name for it is "partial 16S ribosomal RNA". It matches the Rfam family "Bacterial small subunit ribosomal RNA", at positions 28 to 523 of the family's 1533-position model. The record is from RNAcentral.
GACGAACGCUGGCGGCGUGCCUAACACAUGCAAGUCGAACGGAGAAUUAGCAAUAAUUCUUAGUGGCGAACGGGUGAGUAACGAGUAGACAACCUACCCUUUAGAUGGGGACAACACCGUGAAAGUGGUGCUAAUACCGAAUAUUGCUUGAGAAGCGAAUGCUUUUCAAACAAAAGAUGGCCUCUAUUUAUAAGCCAUCGCUAACGAAUGGUUCGGCGUCUGAUUAGCUAGGUGGUGAGCUAAAAGCUCAUCAAGGCAAAGAGCAGUAGCCGGUCUGAGAGGAGGAACGGCCACACUGGGACUGAGACACGGCCCAGACUCCUACGGGAGGCAGCAGUGGGGAAUCUUCCGCAAUGGACGAAAGUCUGACGGAGCAACGCCGCGUGAGUGAUGAAGGUUUUCGGAUCGUAAGACUCUGUUGUUAAGGACGAAUGUAUAGAUUGUGAAUAAUGGUUUAUAAUGACGGUACUUAACGAGGAAGCCACGGCUAACUACGUGCCAGCCGCCGCUGUAA